This 492-nucleotide ribosomal RNA is filed under the name Alteromonadales bacterium M3-C12. RNAcentral's name for it is "bacterial SSU rRNA". It matches the Rfam family "Bacterial small subunit ribosomal RNA", at positions 1 to 495 of the family's 1533-position model. The record is from RNAcentral. Lineage: Bacteria; Pseudomonadati; Pseudomonadota; Gammaproteobacteria; Alteromonadales.
UAGAGUUUGAUCAUGGCUCAGAUUGAACGCUGGCGGCAGGCCUAACACAUGCAAGUCGAGCGGUAGAAAGUAGCUUGCUACUUUUGAGAGCGGCGGACGGGUGAGUAACGCGUGGGAAUCUACCUGGUAGUGGGGGACAACUUGGGGAAACUCAAGCUAAUACCGCAUACGCCCUACGGGGGAAAGGAGGGGCUCUUCGGACCUUUCGCUAUCAGAUGAGCCUGCGUAGGAUUAGCUAGUUGGUAGGGUAAAGGCCUACCAAGGCGACGAUCCUUAGCUGGUCUGAGAGGAUGAUCAGCCACACUGGGACUGAGACACGGCCCAGACUCCUACGGGAGGCAGCAGUGGGGAAUAUUGGACAAUGGGGGCAACCCUGAUCCAGCCAUGCCGCGUGUGUGAAGAAGGCCUUCGGGUUGUAAAGCACUUUCAGUGGUGAGGAAGGGUGUGAAGUUAAUACCUUCAUACAUUGACGUUAGCCACAGAGAAGACCGG